RNAcentral lists this ribosomal RNA (903 nucleotides) under uncultured bacterium. Its description in RNAcentral is "bacterial SSU rRNA". It matches the Rfam family "Bacterial small subunit ribosomal RNA", at positions 8 to 916 of the family's 1533-position model. The record is from RNAcentral.
AGAGUUUGAUCCUGGCUCAGGAUGAACGCUAGCUACAGGCUUAACACAUGCAAGUCGAGCGGUUUGUGCUUUUGCACAUUCAGCGGCAGACGGGUGAGUAACACGUAUCUAACCUUUCCCCUUACUUGGGCAUAGCCUCUGGAAACGGAGAUUAAUAUCUGAUGUGGUGUACAUUUCGCAUGUUUUGCGCACCAAAGAUUUAUCGGUAAGGGAUGGGGAUGCGCUCCAUUAGGUUGUAGGUAGGGUAAUGGCCUACCUAGCCUAUGAUGGAUAGGGGUUCUGAGAGGAAGGUCCCCCACAUUGGAACUGCGACACGGUCCAAACUCCUACGGGAGGCAGCAGUGAGGAAUAUUGGUCAAUGGCCGGAAGGCUGAACCAGCCAAGUAGCGUGCAGGAUGACUGCCUUAUGGGUUGUAAACUGCUUUUUUACGGGAAUAAUUAUGAUCACGUGUGAUUAUUUGCAUGUACCGUAAGAAUAAGGAUCGGCUAAUUCCGUGCCAGCAGCCGCGGUAAUACGGAGGAUCCUAGUGUUUUCCGGAUUUAUUGGGUUUAAAGGGAGCGUAGGCGGGAGGUCAAGUCAGCUGUGAAAUGUAUAUGCUUAACGGGUACACUGCAGUUGAAACUGGUUUUCUUGAGUGCGUAAGAGGCAGGCGGAAUUCGUUGUGUAGCGGUGAAAUGCUUAGAUAUGACGAGGAACUCCUAUUGCGAAGGCAGCACGCUGGGUCGUUACUGACGCUGAUGCUCGAAGGUGCGGGGAUCAAACAGGAUUAGAUACCCUGGUAGUCCACGCUGUAAACGAUGAUAGCUAGGUGUUGGGGGUCGAACCUCAGUGCCCCAGUAAACGCAUUAAGCACUCCGCCUGGGGAGUACGGUCGCAAGACUGAAACUCAAAUGAAUUGACGG